Long non-coding RNA from Salarias fasciatus (jewelled blenny), 794 nucleotides. RefSeq lists it as uncharacterized. The record is from RefSeq and is a predicted model, not a curated record. NCBI's taxonomy places the organism in Eukaryota, Metazoa, Chordata, Actinopteri, Blenniiformes, Blenniidae. The transcript is spliced from 3 exons.
CAUGCUCUGUGGUGUAACUGACACCCACCCAGUAGUUUGAAUCCUUCUUCAGUCCCCUUUGAGGACUGGAGCUGGACAACCUCCAGACUGUCCACUGUGGGGUCCUCUGAGUCACCUGUCUGAGCCAUCUCCAAGAGUGCCUGUCAGAUUCACCUGUCAGGUCCUGCAGAGCAUCAGUGUCUUUAGUCCCAGCAUGUCCAUCAGCCAUAAAGCAGUCAUCAGUGCUGGACAUGAGAGAGACAUGUGAGACGGGACGGCGCCUGCCGGCCCUGAUUCUGCAUUGAGAGCAGAAGACGUCCUGAUGCUCUGAGGACACUGCUGGGAUCAUCUCAGCUGCAUCGUGUCCAGACCAGAGGUCCUCCAGUCAGUCCCCAUGUGUCCUCUCAGCGGAGCUGCAGACACUCUGACUGAACCAAGAGGAACAAACUUCAGCUCCAGUCCUGACGUGGGCCUGCACUGCAGCGUCUCGAGGAUGGAGUGUUUCCCUCUGCCCUCCACCUUCACCUCAGAGGAGCCUCCAUGCUGAUGGCCUCACUGUGGAGCUGCUGCUGCUGCAAGUCUCUCCUCAUCAAAGUGACGGGACUCUGCAGCGCUGAUGAAGAGGAGGACUGAUUCCUGUUUCCUCCAUCAUGAACAGCUCAACCACACAGCAGGGUUCUGUCUGGGUCUCGUGUUCUCUCUGCCUCUCCCACAACAUGGACAAGAGCUGUGAGAGCAGCAGCCGUCCAGCCAAGGACAGAACAAGCUUCAUCUGGAGGAAACGGCUGGUCUGAGCUGCUGGACAUUUAGAACUC